This is a long non-coding RNA of Bufo bufo (common toad), 199 nucleotides long. RefSeq lists it as uncharacterized. Lineage: Eukaryota; Metazoa; Chordata; Amphibia; Anura; Bufonidae. The record is from RefSeq and is a predicted model, not a curated record. The transcript is spliced from 3 exons.
CCGAGAUAGGAAAACUAAGACAGGAGUACUGGAGGGUGAAGAAGGACUGGGAAACCAGGGCUCAGGAAGAGUACGGUAGGAAGACAGGAAUAGAAACACAGAUAGAGGCGGACAGUUUAGAACAUGGAAUUCCCCUGGCAACCUCCACCCCAAGAUGUUUUUGUGGAUGGAUCCUGCACAAGACCAGAUGACAGGACAU